GGGGGUGUAGCUCAGUGGUAGAGUGCCUGCAUAGCAUGUAUGAGGCCCUGGGUUCAAACCUCAGCACCACAU
Molecule: transfer RNA, 72 nt
Filed under: Ictidomys tridecemlineatus (thirteen-lined ground squirrel)
Lineage: Eukaryota; Metazoa; Chordata; Mammalia; Rodentia; Sciuridae
Description: Spermophilus tridecemlineatus (thirteen-lined ground squirrel) tRNA
Rfam family: tRNA
About the family: Transfer RNA (tRNA) molecules are approximately 80 nucleotides in length.
Source: Rfam by way of RNAcentral